Molecule: ribosomal RNA, 247 nt
Filed under: Fusarium sp.
Lineage: Eukaryota; Fungi; Ascomycota; Sordariomycetes; Hypocreales; Nectriaceae
Description: partial large subunit ribosomal RNA
Rfam family: Eukaryotic large subunit ribosomal RNA
Source: RNAcentral
CGUGAAAUUGUUGAAAGGGAAGCGUUUAUGACCAGACUUGGGCUUGGUUAAUCAUCUGGGGUUCUCCCCAGUGCACUUUUCCAGUCCAGGCCAGCAUCAGUUUUCCCCGGGGGAUAAAGGCGGCGGGAAUGUGGCUCUCUUCGGGGAGUGUUAUAGCCCACCGUGUAAUACCCUGGGGGGGACUGAGGUUCGCGCAUCUGCAAGGAUGCUGGCGUAAUGGUCAUCAACGACCCGUCUUGAAACACGG